Molecule: long non-coding RNA, 216 nt
Filed under: Homo sapiens (human)
Lineage: Eukaryota; Metazoa; Chordata; Mammalia; Primates; Hominidae
Description: HSALNT0232376
Source: RNAcentral
GGCCUGAAAACUGAAAACCACUCUGCAGGCAGACAGAGGCUGAUUUCCAUAUGUUGCAAAUCGUGUCAAGUGUCACAGCAGCAGGAGAAAGAGGCCAUGACCUCCUUGUGACCCUUGGCCCACGAAUGACAGAUUCCCCCAGAGCACUUUCAUCUUGUCAGAUUCCACGCCUGUGAGCUCAGCCUUCACCUGGAAGCCAAGCAGCUGAGCAGAAGU